RNAcentral lists this small RNA (29 nucleotides) under Bombyx mori (domestic silkworm). RNAcentral's name for it is "piRNA piR-bmo-1356168". The record is from RNAcentral. Lineage: Eukaryota; Metazoa; Arthropoda; Insecta; Lepidoptera; Bombycidae.
AACCCUUGUUUGACCAUAGCUUUUACCCC